RNAcentral lists this unclassified non-coding RNA (5302 nucleotides) under Megachile rotundata (alfalfa leafcutting bee). RNAcentral describes it as "mitogen-activated protein kinase kinase kinase kinase 3, transcript variant X8". The record is from RNAcentral. Lineage: Eukaryota; Metazoa; Arthropoda; Insecta; Hymenoptera; Megachilidae.
GCUUACCCUGUCGUGACUAACCUCAGAGCUGUUGUGAACAAUGGCGACGUUUCGAGGAAAGUGACAUUCUAACGAACAAAUGUGUUUUUACACUUUAACGUUAAUCUUCUUUUGUAGAUAUUAAUUACACUUGUUAGGUGUUAGAUCGACGAGAAUCUGUGUUUUAUGAUGGCUUUGAACGCUAAUGCACUAUCCAGUGACAUAAGCCGAAGAAACCCUCAGGAUGAGUACGAGCUCAUUCAAAGAAUAGGUAGUGGAACGUACGGAGAUGUUUACAAGGCCAAAAGACUUUCCAUGAAUGACCUCGCUGCGAUUAAGGUUAUCAAGUUGGAACCAGGAGAUGAUUUUGCAAUUAUUCAGCAGGAAAUUUUAAUGAUGAAAGAUUGUAGACAUCCUAACAUAAUUGCGUAUUAUGGAAGUUAUUUAAGAAGGGAUAAAUUAUGGAUAUGUAUGGAAUAUUGUGGAGGUGGUUCCUUGCAAGAUAUAUAUCACAUAACUGGACCAUUAACAGAGAUACAAAUAGCAUAUAUGUGUAGAGAGACUCUUCUAGGAUUGGCUUAUUUACAUAGCAUGGGAAAAAUGCAUCGUGAUAUUAAAGGUGCCAAUAUAUUAUUAACUGAAGCUGGUGAUGUCAAAUUGGCUGAUUUUGGAGUGUCUGCGCAAAUUACUGCAACUAUUAAUAAAAGAAAGAGUUUUAUUGGUACUCCUUACUGGAUGGCACCUGAGGUUGCAGCUGUAGAAAGAAAGGGCGGUUACAAUCAACUUUGUGAUAUUUGGGCAUGUGGGAUCACUGCAAUAGAGUUAGCUGAAUUACAACCACCUAUGUUUGAUUUACAUCCAAUGCGUGCACUUUUUCUUAUGUCUAAAUCUGGCUUCAAACCGCCAACGUUAAAAGAUCGCGAUAAAUGGAGCCCAACGUUUCAUAAUUUUGUUAAAGUUGCUCUCACCAAAAAUCCUAAAAAACGACCAACAGCCGAAAAAUUACUGCAGCACGCAUUUUUUCAAGGAGAAAUGAGCAAACGUUUAGCCUUGGAGUUGUUGCAAAAGGUAUCAAACCCUAGUCAUAUGUUUACUGAUUUAGAAGCCGAUGAAGAUGGAGCUGUACCCAAUGUACCACAAAGGAUAGCCUCACGUCAUACUGCAAGACCUAGACCAAAAAGUCCUAUACCGCAAUUAGAUAGUGAUGAUCAGAUUAAUAUUGAUGGGACAUUACAAAGAGACAUAAUAUCACCAUCAGUAGAUACUAACCCAGCUUGGGAUAUUAUGGAUAUCAUGAAUAAUGUAAAGGGCGUUCAUAAUUGUGAUGUUCAUCCAGAUUGUGGUAUUGGUACUGCAUUUGAAGAUGUACAGGAAAAGAGUCUAUUGCAGUACAUUGAUGAGGAGUUGUUGCUAAGGUAUUGGCAGUUUCAUGUGUGCAGGGGGAAUGCAAUGUCAAUGGUUGGUGGUCAUUGUGACCAGCUAUAUUCCCUGCAAGCAACGCUCCCUCUUGGAGAAUCAUCAAAUGAUUGUGAAGUGCAUUGUCCGUACUAUAACAUGUCAGGAUCUCAAGCAAGUCCCAGGCGUCACAGCUCUGUGGACGAGUUGUAUGGUUUGGUGAGCAGUACCCAGUCUUUAGCCGCUGUCAAUGGACAACGUCAACGGUCUCUGUCGGACAGUUGUCCUAGAGAUGAAUCCCCACAGUCUAAUGGUCAGAAUGAAACACCAAGCGAUGGAGAUAGAGAAAGUAUGAGUCCAGAUUUGUUGUCUGAUACUCCACCUGUUCCUCCAAGAAGAAGGGACAGAAAGCGCCACACACCACCCAGACCUAUCAGCAAUGGACUGCCACCCACACCCAAAGUUCACAUGGGUGCAUGUUUUUCAAAAGUAUUCAAUGGAUGUCCAUUGAGAAUACAUUGUACUGCGAGCUGGAUUCAUCCAGACACAAGAGAUCAGCAUCUACUAAUUGCAGCGGAAGAAGGAAUUUAUAACUUAAACCUAAACGAACUUCAUGAAACUGCAAUUGAUCAAUUGUAUCCAAGACGUACAAUAUGGAUGUACGUCAUUAAGGAUGUGCUCAUGUCUUUAUCUGGAAAAACCCCUCAAUUAUAUAGGCAUGAUUUAUUAGCCAUGCAAAGCAAACAAAGCCAUAGGUUUUCAUUGCACAUGAACAAAAUACCUGAGAGAUUAGUACCUAGGAAGUUUGCUCUUACCACUAAAGUCCCAGAUACAAAGGGCUGUACUAAAUGUUGCGUUGGUAGAAAUCCAUACAAUGGGUAUAAAUAUCUCUGUGGUGCAAUGCCAACGGGAAUAUUUUUAAUGCAGUGGUACGAUCCACUUAAUAAAUUUAUGCUUUUGAAACAUUUCGAUUGCAUACUACCGACGCCAUUAAAUGUAUUCGAAAUUAUUAUCACGCCGGAAAUGGAAUAUCCAAUGGUGUGUGUAUCCGUAAAGCAACCAUAUCAACAGAACAAAUUAAAAUUGGAUUUAAUAAACAUGAAUUCAGGAGCAAGUUGGUUUCACAGCGACGAACUGGAAGAUAUGGAUGGUUCAGCUACUGUGAUACCAAGAAGAGAAAACCUUCAUGUUAUUAAUGUUACACAACUAGAGAAAAAUGCAAUAUUAGUGUGUUAUGAUAAUGUAGUAAAAGUAGUCACGUUACAAGGAAGACCGAGGUCAAGCAGAAAGCACAUGUCAGAAUUACACUUUAACUUUCAAAUUGAAUCAAUCAUCUGUUUACCAGAUAGCGUACUAGCAUUCCACAAGCAUGGUAUGCAAGGUAGAAGUUUUAAAAAUGGCGAAGUCACGCAAGAAAUCAGUGAUCCAAGUAGAACGUACAGAUUACUUGGAUCUGAUAAAGUUGUGAUGCUGGAGAGCCAUUUGGUUCAAUCAGGCACACUAUCCGAAUCUGAAGGAGCGGACUUGUACAUACUUGCUGGGCACGAAGCCAGUUACUAAGUUUAUCUUCCAACUAUAAAUUGUGCAGACAUAUUGUGUCGCAAGUGAAUUGUGAUUUCCAAUGACUGCGUGUAAAGUAAAAAUGUGACUGUACUGAGAGGCAGUGGUUGAUGUUGUGAUGUUAUAAAUAAUUACAGUGCAACGUUACCUGGCAAAUUUUUGUAUUAUUGUAAUGACAAUAAUUUCAUUCAUGGUAUCGGAUAUACAUCUUAAAAAGUAUUUAAAUAUAUAUUGGCUAAAUCCAAAGGAAGAAUACUUACAAAUGACAACAGCUGAAAUAAAAAAGUAUGGGAAGAAGAAAACAAAGAAUAAUUAUAUGUAUACUGUAUCACAGACCAAUUAUUAGAAGACAAAAUUUAGUAGAGAAACACCAGGAACUCAGAAACAUUUUACAUGCAGAUUUUACAUAUCCAUACUCUAAUUAUGACCACAAAAUUUUAAAUAUACCUCUGAGAGUGUUUCGUUGAAUGUAGUGCAUAGCUGAAAAUACUUAAUUUUUAUUGUAUCUUCAUGUAUAUGUAUAGUGUGUGAAUUGAACUGUCAGUAUAUGAGAUUUAAAGUAAUAAUUGCAUAAAUAAAGUUUAUAUUUAUAUACAUUGACAAUUUCAAUGCAAGUAAGCAAUAUUUUUAAUGCCUCACACAAUAAUUAUAUAUUGUGAUCAAACACAGUGAACACAAAUUAGAAUAAUAAUUUCAUAUUUUUUAUGUUACAAACUUUACAUAUUAUAUUUUAAAAAUAACAAUAUCUUAUUUAAUUCACACACAUACACAAAAUGUAGAUUCCCAUAGUGUAGGACAAAUAGUACAGCGAUAACAUGUACCUGUCCGUAUUGACCAGAUCAGUGGCUUUGCCCUUACAAAUGAAAACUAUAAAAUUUGUCUGAUAAAAUUAUAGGAUUAUGUUCAUAAAAUUAUAAAAGACAAAUUUGUUUAUUAUCGUGUUUUAAAUUUAUUAAAAGAUAAAGGUAUGAAUAAUUUAAAUGGAAAAGUAAAAGAAGGAAAUGGUGUUCUUUUUAAAAUAAAAUUCAGUAAUGAACAGAUUUGUUUCUUGUAAGAAUGAAUUCCUAUAAUAUUCAAUUAUCAUUUGUUUCUAUUUAAUCCUGAAAGUGACUAUAAUGAAACUGUUGUAUCAGGUUGUUUUUAUUUUCUGUCUUACAUAGAAUUAAUCAAUGAAACGGGUAAUAUUAUUGUUUGUCUUUUGGAAACAACAGAGUCGCUUUCAGGAUUUUCCACAGGUGCUGUUUGAUUAUUGUUAAAUCAAAAUCAACCGAUUCGACGUUUUUAUUCAGCUAUGUAUUAUGUUUUUUGUUUUAAUGAAAGUGUACGCGUGUGCGUAAAAACAGAAUAUUUUAAGAGACAAGAUCAUAUUGUAAAAAUGAUGAAGCGAUUUAGAGAGAAUGAGACAAAGAGAUACGAAAAACAGAGAGAUAUAUAUAUAUUAAGUAUAAAUAUAUAUAUUAUAUAUUUAAUAAAAAUUCUUCGAGGGAGGACAGCGAAUGUAAGUUCAAAGAAAAUUAGCGUGAAUAAUCGCAACGGGGAAACUAUAAAGAUUGUCAAUAUGUUAAUAGUGCGUUAUUAACCAAAGCUUUAGCUGCGAAUAGAAACGACGAUUUAACUAUUCUUGCAAGUGGAACCACUGAAAGAGCAUACCUUUGUCGUAAAGAUGAAUUGUAGGUUUAAAGAGUUUCUUGACUAGGUGUUGUAAAGAAAAGAAUAAUAACAACAUAUUUCUUGUUGUGCAUAAUAGAGUUCACAGAAGGCAACUGUAGUUAUACGAAUGAUCUACGACCAAUUAAUCAUCAUAUUGACCCACAGCGAUGAAAAAUAAAUCAAAUUGUUUGUUUCGCAGUAAAUAUGAUGAUGUCAUUGCAGAUCAUUUAUGAUUGAGAACAAAUGUAGCGUAGAGCAAAAUGUAUGUAACAUUUUGUACAAAAAUGGACCAGUUGCUUUGCGUUAUGUUUUGUAUAAUAGACUUCUGUCGUACAACACCUGUCACAGAAACUCAGUAAACAAGAUAUGAACCUUAAUUUAUUCUCUAUAUUUAAUAUUCGUAAUCGAAACUAAUGAUUAAUCAGAAGAUUCCUUCUGAUUAGAGGGCAGACUCUAAUUCAAGAUAAUACUAUGAUUAAGUGUAUCAUAUAGUUACUACGAUUGUAUAUAAUGUGUAUAAUGAAUGAUCCUUUUUUUUUAGUUUUACGAGCUUCUCACCUUUAGUCAUUUUUUGUUUCAUUUUCUUUUAUAUACAUACAGUAUUGCGUAGUUAACUUAUGAACAAUGUAUAUCAUUUACUCUUGUAUCUGUAAACACGACUAGCUGAAAACCUCUUGUAAAUAGACAUUUCUCUUAAUAAAAAACCUACCUGAAGUAA